RNAcentral lists this long non-coding RNA (615 nucleotides) under Ictidomys tridecemlineatus (thirteen-lined ground squirrel). RNAcentral describes it as "lncRNA (ENSSTOG00000030336.1)". The record is from RNAcentral. Lineage: Eukaryota; Metazoa; Chordata; Mammalia; Rodentia; Sciuridae.
GCCGGGAUGCCGAUGCUACUUCUGCGAGCCACGGCCCGCCUCGCUUCCAGAGAGAAGAAAGAACAACAACAGGCAAGACGUCUAGAAUACCCGCGCCACCCGUCAUUCAUAAUCCGGCGGACCGGAAGCCGAUGGGUUACGUCACUUCCUUCUGUCUCACUGCCAAACGUUUCCCUCGCCUCUUCUGCGGGAACCUUUGUUUUACCUCUUUCGGAGCCGGCUGAUGCGCGGACCGGUUCGAAAGAAGCUACCGGGAACGGACCGAGUGGCGGGGCGGAGCGCUUCUCUACAGUUUGACUAAUUUUGGAUUCGGGGCCUUUUUCGCCUGUCCUGCGUUUCCAGACGUAUCUCUGAGGCGUUAAUGUAAUUCAAGGCUGAGUACUCCGUGGAGGAAUGUAAGGGAGCAUCUUUAAAAGAAUAUUUAUCGAAAAGGAUUGCAAAAGCGUUGCAAAGACAUAAACAGAAAGGUUUCCCAGACCCGUCGUGAGAUAGUAGCUGUAUUAUUGCAUUCUGCAUGAAUUGAGUCAUUUUUGUUUAUCUUGUGCACAUGCAGAUGAUCAACUUUGAGCUGAUUCUGAGAUUAUCAUGUAGGCUGGAAAAUGAGGUCUAGGAAAU